CUUGGAAAUCUUGUUAAAAUGUAGAUUCUGAUUUAGCAGGUCAAAGAGCCUGCAUUUCUAACAAGAUUACAAGUGAAACUGAUGCAGCU
RNAcentral lists this microRNA precursor (89 nucleotides) under Ovis aries (sheep). RNAcentral describes it as "miRNA (ENSOARG00000023007.1)". Lineage: Eukaryota; Metazoa; Chordata; Mammalia; Artiodactyla; Bovidae. The record is from RNAcentral.